AAAAAAACCGCGCCUGACAGCAAUAGCCAUGUGUCAUAUGAACACAUCUGAUUGGGACACGCGGUACUCUGAGCUGUUGGAUGGAGAGCGUGGCGAACCUAUUUGGCACUACAUGCCCACCAAUUACAUCAUGUUCUAUUAGAUAUAUUUAAAGUUCAUGCUCAACUAUGUAAUCUUGUUAUCUUAUCAAUAAAGCAUGUCGAGUGGAUGGAUGUUUGUUAAAAAAACUCAUCACCACCAAAAUCUGGGAGUCUUUUGACUGCUACACACCAAUAUUUUCUUUUAUUGCAUCCCACAAAACUCCAGUUUGAUUAAUUGUAAUGUUGCACUUGGGAAUUAUUAUUUUUGCAUUGUGGUCGCUGAGAUGAGCCGUACCUGGUUUCUGCUGCCACAUCACUGGCCAAACAGAGGUGGAUUCAUGCCAUCCCAGCCACCACUGGUGAAGUAUCCUCACCAUCCCAAUCACUGUCAUUGGAGGAGAUGAUUUUAGGAGAAGAAGGGACCAUCGGUCAUCCUUGAACCAUCCCCACCACCACAUAUGCCCCGUGGGGUGGCGCCGCCGGGGAAACAAGAGAGGAAGAUGUGUAGUCAAGAGAGACAUGCUAGACGGGGUAGUGAGCGAGUGGUUGUGGUUCUGUGUCGUUCCGCCGAUUUAUAAGAAUCGUCACAUUUUGGAUCUAAAGGGUAUAUUCCUUUUAACAUACCUAGGAAAGUGGCCCACUCGAUGCGCGUGCUAAGAUUUAAUGAAGUGGCCCGUGGGUAUGCGGUUGUACCAAUAUAAUGUAAUCAAUGGAAUGCCAAUUAGAUGUAAAUUUUCAUAAAUUGUCUUUCUGGUCUUGGUAAAACAUGUGAUUUCUAUAAGUGGCCUAUAAGUGUUGAGUGAGGUAUAGAGUAGCUAGUAAUAAGUUCAUAAAUUUUUGAAAAUGUAAUUAUAUGUAUGAGCACACAUACCAAUCCAAACUAGUACUAUAUCUACAUGGUAAUUGUAUAUUCUUGUAUAGUUACUGCUCUUGUUUUUUAUUUGAUUAACUUAUGGCUAAGUUACUAAUUGAUGAUAGUAAGUUUGGAAUGUGAAAUACCCUACAUCUUAAGGUAUAGUGUUAAUUUUCUAAUGCCCCUCCACUUUUUCCAGUCUUUGGGACCGACAUUGGAAGUGUUAGGCCCCCUACCCCUAUUAAUAUUCAACAAAGUUAAGAAACUUUAGUACAUUUGUGAUUAGCUAUAGUUUAAAUAAUUCCUAGAGAAGACUGAAAAUAUAACAAUUGAAUAUCAAAACAAGUCUGAUUGCAUUGUACAUAUGAAUUAUAAUAAUUUACUGAUGCUCUCACUAUUCGUUUGCAUUACAUACUAAGCUUGUAGAAUCAAAUAUCACAUUAUAGUUUGCCGAUGUUUGGUAGUAACAAACUAUUUCCAAUUGUUGAUGCAUGUUUGCAAUAAUUCGCUAACCAAAAUUAAUAUUUAAUAGCCUAAUAUUCAAAUAGGUCUGAUUUCAUUGUACAUGUGAAAUAUAACAACGUCUCAAUGCCCUCAAUAUUGGUAGUAAUGAAUUAUUUUGACCUCAUUGCUAUCUUCAUCAUUUACCAGUACCCAUAGUCCAUCCAUUUAUGUUAAUCUUGAGAAGGGGAUGGACUACAGGUAAUGGUAAAUAAUGAAUUUUUUUCAUCCAAUAUUUAGAAUUCACUCUAAAAAUUCGGCUGCCCUUUUGUUUCUCUAAUUCGUCAUGAGUUGUGUAGUUCAAUCGCAUGUUCUUUGUUAGCUUCAUUAUAUGGAAGUGCUUCCAAAGAUAUCACCUGUUAAUGGAUGUGGUGACUAUGUUGUGUCUUGUUCCCUUUGGUCCAAAAGGAUCACUACAAAAAAAA
Molecule: long non-coding RNA, 1859 nt
Filed under: Triticum aestivum (bread wheat)
Lineage: Eukaryota; Viridiplantae; Streptophyta; Magnoliopsida; Poales; Poaceae
Description: long non-coding RNA (TAES_LNC010144)
Source: RNAcentral